Molecule: microRNA precursor, 129 nt
Filed under: Podarcis lilfordi (Lilford's wall lizard)
Lineage: Eukaryota; Metazoa; Chordata; Lepidosauria; Squamata; Lacertidae
Source: RNAcentral
GACCAACUAAGUUAGUUCUUGGUAUGAGCUUUCGUGUGCAAGCACACUUCUUCAGAUACACUGAAUACAGAUUCAGUGUAUCUGAAGAAGUGUUUGCACACUAGCUCAUACCAGAACUAACUUAGUUGG